Molecule: long non-coding RNA, 1149 nt
Filed under: Sorghum bicolor (sorghum)
Lineage: Eukaryota; Viridiplantae; Streptophyta; Magnoliopsida; Poales; Poaceae
Description: long non-coding RNA (SBIC_LNC013915)
Source: RNAcentral
GCAUCUAGUUUAAUUUUGCUUAGCCGAGUAAUUUAUUUUCCUUUUUAUUCAGAUUUCCUUCAUUUACUUUGUAAUCAAUGUCUCGGCUUAUAUUGAAUAAUAAAGAAGUCCUUUGUUCGAAUUAUUUUGUCUCCACUUGUUUUUGUAUUAUUUUUGUCUACUUGAGAAAAAUCAAAGAACAGGUAAAAAAACAUGUGUGGGGGAGGAAUCGCCAUCAAGGUAAUCUUACAUAAAUUAUUUUUAUUCCUCCUAUGACAAUUUAAAUCUGAUUUAUAUGAUAAAAAUAUUGCUAAUAAAAUAAAAAGAUAAAAAAUAAAUGAAUACUCCAUUUCCUUUCUGCCUUUGAAAUUAAACAUGCAUACACUUUAUUCCUCGCCAAAAGCCUACCAUUUAUGAGCAACUUUUUAUAAGGACCCCAUUGCUUCUAAGUAAUUGAGAUUUGCGAUAUAGAAGGAUGAUUUGAAACUUGCUCACUUAUGCAAUGAACUUGGGGAUUUAUUUGAUAAAAUUAAAAUUGCAAAAAGUCUGCUCUUCAAUGAUAGAUAAUUACCUACCAAGGCCAAAUAUAUUACCCUUGAUAAAAAUUCUACAAAUAGCUGCUUAUUUGUUUUGAGUUGUGUCAAGUCUUGAUGACCCUUGUUAAGAGAUUUAUCAUGCUCUCAAGAUCAAGAUCACGUACACUCCAGAUACAGAUAUAUGCCGUUUCUACACUGGGAGUGCGCAAAAACAUGCCUUACAUGUCCACCAUACAAACACUCCAUGUUUUAAAGAAUGAUCUCUCUAGUGCAUCUUAGAUAAAGACAUGGGCUAUGCAAAAUUAUAUAAAAAAAUGGGCAAGUGCCCACUGUAGAAUUAGGGGUAUAAAAAUACCGACCUGAAAAAAAAUAUAGGACACAUGAAGGUCCUAAAUAUACAAAAAAAAAGAUGAGCACAUGAAGGCUCACAAGAAAAUAAAAGAGUUAUGAUAGCCAUGUCUAGAAAUACUUGAUGAGAUCAUAUCAACCAACGGAGUUGUUUAUACCAUAUACCACACACUUGCACAUCUUGAUCUAAGGGUAUGACACUUCUCUUCUUGGAUCCGAGAUUUGACUCGACAAUACAUACAAGGUAAGUAUGCAUUCUCCUUGGUCCAUACCCAAAACUCCAAAU